Dreissena polymorpha is the source of this 471-nucleotide long non-coding RNA. RefSeq lists it as uncharacterized. The transcript is spliced from 3 exons. The record is from RefSeq and is a predicted model, not a curated record. NCBI's taxonomy places the organism in Eukaryota, Metazoa, Mollusca, Bivalvia, Myida, Dreissenidae.
CCAACUGUGCCAUUGACUGUGUCUCACAGUGGCAGUCCCAAUGGUCAGUGGUUUGGUCAGCAGCCAGGGGGCGGGGCUAGGCAGCCGACCAUCAACUACCAGGGCAUGACACUGACCAGUGAACAGAUUGCUUCACUACAAGCCCAGCAAAGACUAGCUCAAACUGCCACCAUGUUCAAAACAGCAGAAGGUCCAAAGUGAAGAAUGAAAAAAAAAGACAUUGUUGGACUCCAUGGUUAAGAGCGUCAGAAGAAAGAAACUAUGUCUGAGAAUAGUCACACAUUGGCCAGUGCUUGCAGAGGCAUGUUAUAUUGAAUGCCAACUGGGAAUUGCAGGGCAAAAUCGGACCAAGACUCUGUACUCUUUCCUUGCGACAUUAGAUAGGCAUGGCUGCAUAUGUGUCUUUCACAAUCAUAUAUUUGAAAUACAUUUGAAAUAAUUAAAUAGAAAAUAAGUGCAUAUUUUUAAUUA